Molecule: transfer RNA, 82 nt
Filed under: Puccinia triticina 1-1 BBBD Race 1
Lineage: Eukaryota; Fungi; Basidiomycota; Pucciniomycetes; Pucciniales; Pucciniaceae
Description: tRNA-Ser (AGA) (tRNA-Ser-AGA-3-1)
Rfam family: tRNA
About the family: Transfer RNA (tRNA) molecules are approximately 80 nucleotides in length. Their secondary structure includes four short double-helical elements and three loops (D, anti-codon, and T loops).
Source: RNAcentral
GACAACGUGGCCGAGCGGUUAAGGCGAUUGACUAGAAAUCAAUUGGGAUUAUCCCGCGUAGGUUCAAAUCCUGCCGUUGUCG